Molecule: ribosomal RNA, 301 nt
Filed under: uncultured bacterium
Lineage: Bacteria
Description: partial 16S ribosomal RNA
Rfam family: Bacterial small subunit ribosomal RNA
Source: RNAcentral
CAGUCGCCACGGUAAUACGAGGGGGGCAAGCGUUGUUCGGAAUUAUUGGGCGUAAAGGGCGCGUAGGCGGUUUGACAAGUCUGAUGUGAAAUCUCUGGGCUCAACCCAGAGUCUGCAUCGGAAACUGUCGAGCUUGAGUAUGGGAGAGGUGAGUGGAAUUUCCGGUGUAGCGGUGAAAUGCGUAGAUAUCGGAAGGAACACCUGUGGCGAAAGCGGCUCACUGGACCAUUACUGACGCUGAGGCGCGAAAGCUAGGGGAGCAAACAGGAUUAGAUACCCGCGUAGUCCCUGUCUCUUAUAC